AUACGGAGGGUGCAAGCGUUAUGCGGAAUUAUUGGGUUUAAAGGGUCCGUAGGCGGCUAGAUAAGUCAGUGGUGAAAUUCUCUCGCUCAACGAGAGACCUGCCAUUGAUACUGUCUUGGCCAGAGUUACAGUGAGGUGAGUGGAAUGUGUAGUGUAGCGGUGAAAUGCAUAGAUAUUACACAGAACACCGAUUGCGAAGGCAGCUCACUAACUGUAUACUGACGCUGAUGGACGAAAGCGUGGGGAGCAAACAGGAUUAGAUACCCCAGUAGUCC
This 275-nucleotide ribosomal RNA is filed under the name uncultured bacterium. RNAcentral's name for it is "partial 16S ribosomal RNA". It matches the Rfam family "Bacterial small subunit ribosomal RNA", at positions 523 to 796 of the family's 1533-position model. The record is from RNAcentral.